GUGGUGUCACCGUCAACCCAAGACCUCAAUAACACAUAAAUUGCAACUCCAAUCUCAAAAACAAGGCCAACAAGAUGCCUUAGCCACAACUCAUUGUCUUCUAAGGAGUAGGCAGUAAUAGUGUCUGAGCCACCGAGGUGCAAGAGAAGGAAUGGAGCCCAAAAUGACUGCAGUGAGUGGUUUUGAUUUGGAGCAUUACUUCCCAGGGACCUGGCAAGAAUGCCCAAUGCAACAGUUGCCACCCAAUCUGCUGACAAGUAUGCAGACCAAACAAGGAAGUUGAUCCAUGUACUUGUCGUACUCUUUCUUUUGGAACCAAAGGCAACGAGUAUUACCUGUAAUGAGAGGCUGAGCAAAACCAACACUCGUAUCUCCCAACCAUUCCAAAGUUUAAUCACUGUUUCAACGAGCGCCAUUGCUGGUCUCUUACUUUGCCUAAAACAUAAAAUAGUGUUUGCGUCUAUAACUAUAUUUAUUUUGUGAAAUCCCAAAAAGUGAACAUAGGAAGAUGGACAAAGAAAAAAUGAAGAUGAGAGCAUUAACUUUCAAAAUUUCUUUAUUAUUCUAAUUCCAUGAUGUAUUUUUUGUUAUCAAUUUCCUAAUUGAAGAGUUUGUUAAUAUAAGAAUGGUGUAUAUUAAUUAAUAUAAUAGGAUGACAAUAUUAUAUUUUAGAAAAAUAAACAACCAAUGAGAUAUAUAAAUAUAAUAAUUUUAUUAAUUUUUGACAGAUAAUUUUCAUUAGUAAGAUGUUUAGCAAUUAAAAGUUAAUUAAUUUUAAAUAAUAAUAUAGUAAAAAUUGACUAAUUAUAAAGGACAUCUAAUUCCAUAAUCGCAUGUAUAUUAUUAUUUAUUAUAUAUUUACUAUUAUUAAUAUCAUUUAAAUAAAAAAGUUUGCAAUGAAGCGUAUUACUGAUUAAUGGUUAUAUUAGCAAUAUGCUAAAAUUAAAGAAAUUGCAUUUAACUUAUUGACUCUUUUUACAAAAUUUUAUGUUUUGGUUAAUUCUAUAAACCUUAUAAUUUUAUAUGUUACUUCUAAUUAUAUAUGAAAAAUCUCUUCCUAUACACUUGCAAUCACCAUGUAUUUUUAGUUGGAUAUAAAAUUUAUCGAAACUCACUAUUUAUGUUAAUCUUAUAAUUAUUUAAAGUCUCAAAUCAUUUAAUAUAAUACAAAUUCUAGUUUGUGAUAUAGUUAAAUUUAAAUUUUAUGAAGAAUAAUUUUUUUUAUGGAAAGGGGAUUCAAAUCCAUACUUUUAAAUAGAGAGAUCAUGCACUAACUAAUAAGCCAAAUACUCAAGUGCUUAUAAAAAAUAAUUUACUUUAAUUAAAAGUUCAAGGUUAAUAAGAAAAAAGACAGAUAAAAAUUAGACAGUUUAUGCAUCAAUUGUAACAUAUAAAGAAUUCCACUAGAAAAAGUUAACAUAUAAAGAAUUAAUUGAGAGUUAUGUAUGUACACAAUUAUUUACACAAUUUUUAUUUAAAUAUUAAAAGAAUAAGGAGAUUUGAACUCAAACUUUUUUAAAGAAAAAACAUACACUUACUUUUAAGCUAAAUACUCAAAUUCAUUAUUAUAAAGUAAAAUUUUAAAGUACUAAUAUGAUCAAAUCAAAUUGAUUGUGGCUCUAACAUGAUAUUACUUUUGAGUCUUAAUCAAUAAAUCCACUCUCCUGAAAAAUACAACCCCCAAGAAGUGGUGAAGCAGAGUGGAAACUGGCUUGAUGCUUCCUGAACCAAUGCGCCUUUGACUAAAAGGAAUGAAACUUUUAAGUACUAAUAUGAUCAAAUCAAAUAAGUAGGUAAAAAUAUUCCAAUUCCCUAAUCAAAUGCCUUUAAAAAAAAAAUCAAAUAAGCAGGCACACAAUCUAACAUCAUAUUACUCAUGAAGUCCUGAUCAAUUGAUAAUAUUUAUACAUUUCCUAUGAUCAAUAUAACAUCAUUUUCUCCUCGAUCCUCCUUUUGUAGUAGAUCCUGUGUUGCUGCGCAUUAACUGUUUUUUAUAUUUUUCAGUGUUGGGGUGUUGCGGACUUCAUCUGUGCUUAAUCUCAGCUUAUAUUCUGCAUUGGUUUAUAAAGUGUUGCAAGUGAUGAAAUAGUUCUAUCGGUUGGGAUAUUGUUUUAUUUUUGUUUUCUUAGUUUGACUGGUUCAGUUACAGACCUUUUUUCUUAUAAUUGAAAGAAGGAAGAUUUGAACUCUAUUCUCUAUACAUCAAUCAAUGAGUCAAAUAUUUAGGUGUAAAUUCAGUUAUAAACUUGUUUAUAUAUUAAUUUUUUUUUUAAAUGUGAUUUAUUGAAUUGCUUCUAACCCAACACGUCAUAGGUAGUCUUUAGCUAAUUGUCUUAAGACUCCCAAUAACAUAAAAGGUUUGGCUUGAGUGUAAACCUGUACAAUUGCCAACAUUCAACCACACAAAAAGAAAUUGGUGCCUCUUACUAGAAAACUACCUUGCUACUUAAUAAAAUUGAAUUUUGAUUGAGCAAACAAAAAUUAAUAAAAAAACUAUAAAAUAUAUAGUAUUUAGUUAAACUUCAGUCAAAGGGUAAUAUUAUCAUUUUAUAAAAUCAUUAAAAAAAAAGAGGUGGUCAGACAACAAAUGAUACAAUUUCAUUUUUAUAUAAUCAUAUUCAAGGAUAUAAACCUUUUUUUAGUUUUAUGAAGAAAAAAAAAAAAGAAAACUCACCCCCAAGAGCUGGUGAAGGAUUGCUGGAGCCUCCUUUGAAGCUUUCUAAUCAGCCAAUGUGCCUUGAAUUAAAACAAUGAAAGAGACUCAUAAAUUUAUAGCAGUGAAGAAAAAUUCUUUUAAAGGCAUGAAGCAAGGAAUGAUAAGAGAAGAACAAAUUUUGGACGUUUGCUUUGGCAUUAAGUUAUCCAAGUAUCAAGGAAAAGUAAUACAGCAUGUCUCAUGAAAUAAGAGUUCAAAGGAAUACAUCAAGGCUUAUGCUUCAGAAAAUGCAUCUAAAAUAUUAUUAAUUACUCAGAUUUUGUUAAUUAGUGCUCUAAUUAAUUAAGAACAAUUAAUAAAAUGUUAUUUUUUACAUAUUAUAACAAAAUUUAUUAUUUUAAAAUAUUUUAUUUCAAAUGCACUCAUUGAUAAAUAAAAAGAUUGAUGAUUGAAAUACACUUAAUGAAAAUAUUACUUUUGAAAAUAACCUUACAAGCGUAUUUGCAAGAAAUCUUAGGAGUGAAUAUGCCUCCACAUCUAAUUCUAAUUUUCCUUCAAGCAAUUGUUUAUUAGAUUCUCAGGACAGAGCAUGGAAAACGACGACCCCUUUUUUAAUUAUAUAAAGUAAAAAAGAAUUUUAUUUAACGACGAACCUAAUUCUAUUGUUCGUUCGUGUCUUUGUUUGUCUACAACUUACAUGAGAGUCUAAUUAUUUUUCCAAACUGUGAAAGGCCUUACAACUCUAAAAGGUACAACUUCAAUAGUAAUUAAAUUGGUCUAAGACUCCUUCAUAUAAAAUCCAUAUUCCUUCGUAUAAAUAUAUAUCUCAAAUAAAUUUUCAAAUGAUUAGUGGAUUGGUGUUGGUAGAUUGCUCAAGCAAGCCUCUAUUUGAUCAUUUAUUUAUUGUAAAAUGUAAGUUUCUUUAUGUAAAUGAAAAAAAUAUGUAUAAAUGAUAAUUCAUCAAUAUUUUAGUGUAUUUUCUAAUUUUUUUAUAUAAUUAUAUGAAUUAUUAUAAAAACACAUUUCAAGUUUUGCGAUACCAUUUAAAGUAGAUUCCAUGAGUUAGGUGGUUCAACUUGCGAGUUUGGCUUGAAUUGGACCCUUGAUAUUAUUAAUUUAUGAAAUAACAAUCUUUGGGCCAUACCCUAUACAACAAUAAGAGACACUUUUGAUAUUCUUGAAAGGAAAACCGAAAGGCCCCUAGCUAACACUAGCCAAUUGGCCCUAUGGUGUCUGUGGAUUACCGUUGGAGAUUGAGCACUUAAAAAACUUGCCUUGAUGUUUGAAGGCUUCCAUUCAUAGGAUUUUGAGCUUUGAGAUUUUGACAAUUAGGAUUUGAAGGUAUAACAAUAUUUUUACUACUAAUUAAUUACAUUUUCUAUGUUAAACAAACCAAAUAUUUGAUUUUACUAUUGAAAAGGAUUUUAAAUUCCACUGCAAUAGGCUCUUGUUGAUUGCAUGAUUUCCCAACAAUCAUCACUAGACAACCUUUUAAUAUCAGGAGCAACAAUGGAAAGAUGACUAACCAAGGGGCCUUUUCUCAUUUUCCCAACACCCUUAACCACAUCAGCAUACGUUUUGCGCUGAUGAUAGGCCUCAAACCUAGAGCCAUUUUGAAAACAAUCAGAAGACCUAAAAUUCUCAGUCAGUGCAGUCUUAUGAAAUUCGAGGAGAGAGUAUAAGUAGUUAUUCACCACAUGUUGAGCAUUUUAAAGAAAGUCACAAGACUUUUGACGCAGAAAUCUAAUGCUUUCUUAUGGAAAGGCAAAGAUACAAAAGCUACAAGAACUAAAGUUAAUUAGCUGGGACUAAGGUUUCCAUCCAAAGAAUGAAGGGCGUUUAGCGUUUAGGCAUCGAGAAGAUCUCUCCUUGGAAUAAAGCCUGUAUGAUGGAAAACCGUUUGGGCUAUUCUUAUUCAAUCAGGGUCAUAACGUGUUGCUUGCAUCAAAUCUUAUAUAUGCACUAACAGGCAGAAGUCUGUGAUCUAUUCCUCUGUCUAGUGAUUGCUCAUGGGGGUGGAAGAAAAUCUUGAAACUAAGAAACUAUAUCAAACCCUAUGUGCAAAACAUAAUAGAUUAUGGAAAACCCACAGAUUUUUGGUUUGAUUGCUGCCAACCUAAAGGGCCUUUGUUGCUUAUGCACUAUAAUUUCAUGAUCUCUUCCUUUUCAAGUAAAAAUGGUAACUGCACUUGAGUAUUUAACUCAUUGAUUGAUACAUGAUCCAUUGUCUAAAAAAUAAUAUUCGAAUCCUCUUCUCCAAUUAAAAAAAAAUAAAAGGGACAACUGUAGUUAAUGUUGCACUCUUCCCUUUCAAGCAGAAAGGAACAAUUGUCAUUAAUGCUGCAAGUUUGGUUUGGCCUUUGGCUAGAUCAGAUGAUUUAGUAGAGACUCAAUGCUCCUCAUAUGAUGUUAUUAUUCUUAAUCCGAGACGGAAAGAUGAAGCCAUCUGGACUUAGUCUAGCAAUGGAAUGGGAAGUUUACAAUCUCUAGUACUUUGAAUAUCGUUAGACAUAGAAAACCAUCUUCUCUUGAGCCUUAUAGAGAAGAAACACUGCUUACCUGUUACUUGAAGAAGAAUACAAUCGUUCGAGAGAUUUUAAUAAUUUAGAUAGAUGACAUGAUUUUGAGGUCGAGACAGGAAAGGGGCAUGAGAUCAGGGUAGGGGAUUUGCAUUCAUAGCUCUAUCUUUAUACAUGUACAAAUUAAAUUCAAAUUAUACUUAAAUGACUCUUAAUUAUCAAAUCAAUAUAUAAUUAAUGACAUUCAAUAAAAGAAACAAAUUAGCAAAUCAACGUAUUAGUAUAUAGUUAAAAAUUAGUCAAAAUACCCACCAAGUUCUGUACCCAUGCAUUUUAUUCAUUUAGUCUCUGUACUCAAAAUCGAAACAAUUUAAUUCCUUGAUUUUAGCAAUUGAUAUAAUUUAGUCCCUCUCACUAACGGUAUUGAAUUUUACUGUUAAAAAGAUGAUGUCAGCACUGACAUCAACAUUGAUGUGACAUAUUUUGCUGGUGUGGCAUCGACUUGAUGACAUGGCAGCGCCAUGUGGCCCUAAUAUGUUGUCGUGUCAGUGCCACAUGGUAGAUAAAAAAAUUUUUAUGCUACGUUAUAGAGAUUAAAUUGAAUAAAAAUAUAUACUAUAUGGACUAAAUUGAACAAAAUUGAGAUUUUGAGGAACUAAAUUGAAAAAAAUAUUUAAAAAUUAUAAAUCUUUAAGUAGAUGAUAGAUAUACUUAUUAAUAAGUUAAAUAUUUAAGUACAAAAGAUUUAUGGUGUUAUAAAUAUAUAUAAAUAUUUUCUUACUUGAUUAUUUGAUUGUAAAAUAUGUAUAUUAAUUUAUCUUCUUUACAAAAAUUAAGUUUGAAUUCUCCUUCUAUAAAAAAAAUUUCAAAAAAAUUUUCAUACAUAAAGUCAAAUUUAGAUGAAUAACUUGCAUUAUGUUGAAAUAAAAUAAUAUAAAAAACUAAAUAAUUUUUUCUUUUAUUAUAAUAGCACAAAAAUUUGAAAUUUAUUUGACUUAACUUUUAACUUGAGUUGAAAUUAAAUUAGCAUAGUGAGUUGACUUAGUUUUUUGUUUGAAAAAAAUGAAAAAGGGAGAUAUAGAGUUAGCGAUGAUUAUAAAAAUAAUUCUUCAUUCUGACUUACUUAAUUUGGACAUGACAAACCUCUUAUUAUAAUCAUAAAAUCCGAGUUACUUCACCUCUUCAAUUUUUUAUAUAUUUUUUAUGUUUUUGUUUUAUCUAAUAUGUCAGGUUAUAUUCUUUAGGUUGAAAUUUCUUAGAUUAAAGACUGUAUUUAUGGUUGAUAGAGUUAAAUAUAAUUGUAAAUAUUUAUACAAUUUUAUAUUGUAUUUACAAAUUUUUUGUAGAUCUAAAGUUCACGAAUUAAAUUGUUACAACCGUAUCCCUGACGUUGAUCAAGGAUAAGGCCUGCAAAUAAAAAUUUUAGCCUCUUGAACAAGCUAUCAACUCGAAGUAGGAAGGGGUCAACAAAUAGGGCAGCUCCAAAUAUAUCUGCGUCGUUGUAUAGGUAUAAACGUAACAAAUUGUGUAAUGAGGAAGUUCUAAACUGCUUCGCGCUUGAGGUCAUGAGCACGUAAGUCCUUUCCCCAUACUUGAUAAGUCCUGCAAUGAACACUGGAAUUGCUAUACACGAGAAGGUGGUGUCACGGUCAACCCAAGACCUCAAUAACGCAUAAAUUGCAACUCCAACAUUGAAAAGCGCAUUAAUAUGAUUCUAGCAUUGAAAAGCUGUACAUUAAUAUGAUCCUCAACACCUUAGCAUUGUAAGUUGUUAGUUGUAUUGUUGCAGGAAAUACCUGACGCAAAUGAUAGAAUUAAUCAUGUGUGUUUCUUUGCGUGGUGGUUGGUGGUUGCUUUUGAAAUUGUGUUUGGCAGUAUUCUCGUACAGGGAUUCUCACCGGUCUUAUUUAGAUAUUAAGAGGUGAUUGCUUUAUGGUUGAUUUUGGUCGUAAGCUUGUAUUGGCGGGAGGUGUUUUGGGCGGGUUUUGUUUUGCUUUGAAUUCAUCUAUGAGGCUGUGUGUGUAAUGGGAUUGUACUUGGGCAGGUGGCGAAACAGGGGGUUUGUUGCAUUUUUUUAGUGGGGAUCUGGGUGGGACAAUGGGGCAAUAUAGUGACUGAUUUGGUUUUGUUGGGGUGAGGUUUCUUCCAAAAGUUACGGCUGUCUCGUGGUUCUCGUUAUAUGAUUACAGUGGUGUUGUGAGUUUUUUGCAAGGGAUAUAAUUUGGAAGAGUUUUCUUGGCAGCAGGGGCGCAAAUCUGAUUCCACGUUGUCUUUAGGAUACGUUCACUCGGCAGGAUUUGGAUGUUUACUGCCUAGGUUGGAUUCUUAGUGUUGUUUUUGAUGGCUAGGGCUAUGGAAAUUGCUGUUAUAGGACUAUGGUGUUUGUAUCAAGUGCUUUGCUCCUUGCCUUGAGCAAUUCCUCUCAUAUGAACUGUCUCUUUUCAUGACUUGGCUUUAUGCAAAGUUUUAUGUAUCACAGUGAUGUUUAUAAAAUAAUCUUUGACUGAGUAAACAAUAAAUAAACGGUAAAACUAAAUAUCAAAACUCAAGUGUUUUAUUGAAUAAUUUUGACAAUAUAAAUCAUUGAAUAUCUAAUAGAAAUGUGCUCAAAUUAUAAGAUCUAAAAUGAAAUACUUCACUUUAAAUAUAUGAAUGCGCUGAAAUUACAAUGAUAUAUUAAAAACAAAAUCCUUAAGAUGGUAUAAAAUGAUUAUUUUAUGUCAACAACUAUUUCUUCGAGUUCAAAAUUUGACACAUAAGUAUACAUGUUAAAAAAUGCCAUUAACAGAUAAUUAAGCUUCAAUUUUUGAAUGAUCCUAUGGUUGACGAUGAUGACUGAUCUUAAUUCUUUCCCACCAUGUCAAUAACUUCUUCUUAGGGAGUUGGCGAAGGGAUAAUUGCCCAUCUCGGUAUUGGCCACUGAUGCCAAAAUGUGCCAUAAGAAGGCAAACGUGAGUGAGCAGUUGUCCGCCUUUGGCGAGUUGGCGACCAUGCUCUUUCCAUCCACAAUGACCUGCGGCAUAUGUCAAUAGUUCUACCCACACUUUAUUCAUCAUCUCCCACUUUUCUUUCCUUCCCCGGUUUCUCUUGUUCAGAUUUUGCAAUUGUUUCGCAAGAUCGCGACCCUUCAAAAGGAUACUAGACUCAUCAGAUCGAAGUUCUUCCAAUUUUGGACCCCCUUCAAGCAACUCUUGGUAGGCUUUUUCUAUUUGUAUGUCUCUCUUUUCUUUAAAAAAAUCGAAGACCUCCUCACAGGCCUUUCUGUAUCUUAUUUCACCAAUCCCUUUGGGCAACAUUUUUGAACGCAAGACGAAAAGAUAAAGCAUGUACUCCGAUAGGCAUCUGCUGAUUUUGCUGUAUUCAUUAAUGAGACUAUAGAGAUCAGUUGUCUUAAUAUCAUCAUAGUAACAGAGCUGGGUAGCAAUGUGCCAAAGAAGAAUGCUUUCGUCAAAUUCUACAUCAACGGUGCUCCAUUUAAGCUCAUCAAGGAGCUUCAUUUCAUUAAGUACACAUUCACCUCUGUAAUUCAAUACUUUGCUGCUUAAUUCGGUAUUAUCGAAAUCUUCAAGCUCUUUAGUUCUCCUAUCUAGUUGAUGGAAGAUAAGGCAUUUUAGAUCGUCAUCUAUCCCUUGCUGCCAUUCCACAUUCUGAUGCUUCUCUAACAUUUCAUAGAUGCCAAGUAACUUUUUAACUAUAAUCCACUUGGUUGCCUCCUUUUGAAGGCAAAAGCUCACAAGGUUGCACUUGGCUAUGCUUCUAGACCACCUCCUACCCUUUCUCACUCGUUUUAAAUGACAUUUUUUUUGCACAACUAGCCAAAGCUUUAGCCAGUCAGAGGAAGUAAGCAUGAGCAGCGCAUAAACCUCCAGAACAACAGCUCCAACCAGCAAUAGGUAAGUUACGAACCUGUCCACCGGUGAGUAUUCAUGCUCAUCGAUGAUGAUUGAGAAGGUAACCAAUGCAGAAACAGAGGCCAAACAAGUAAUGCAGCGGAAAAAGAUACCAAAACAUGAGUAGACUAGUCUUGCUUUGGUGUAGAGCAAAUCAUACAAAAGUCCCAGCUCAUAUUCUACCACUUCGAAGGCCACUCUUGGUUCAAGUUCACGAAUUAAUUUGUUGCAAAGGUAUCUCUGAUUUUGAUCGAGGAGAAGGUCUGCAAAUAAAAAUUUUAGCCUCUUGAACAAGCUAUCAACUCGAAGUAGGAACGAGUCAGCUCUAAACAUUUCUGCCCCGCUGUCUUCAUAUAAACGUAACAAAUUGUCUAAUGAGGAAGUUCUAAACUGCUUCGUGCUUGAGGACAUGAGCACGUAAGUCCUUUCCCCAUACUUGAUAAUUCCUGCAAUGAACACUGGAAUGGCUAUACACGAGAAGGUAGUGUCACCGUCAACCCAAGACCUCAAUAACACAUAAAUUGCAACUCCAAUCUCAAAAACGAGGCCAACAAAAUGCCUUAGCCACAACUCAUUGUCUUCUAAGGAGUAAGCAGUAAUAGUGUCUGGGCCACCGAGGUGCAAGAGAAGGAAUGGAGCCCAAAAUGACUGGAGUGAGUGGUUUUGAUUCGGAGCAUUACUUCCCAGGGACCUGGCAAGAAUGCCCAAUGCAACAGUUGCCAC
RNAcentral lists this long non-coding RNA (9788 nucleotides) under Theobroma cacao (cacao). Its description in RNAcentral is "long non-coding RNA (TCAC_LNC003640)". The stretch from base 6256 to 6348 matches the Rfam family "Small nucleolar RNA snoR8a". The record is from RNAcentral. Lineage: Eukaryota; Viridiplantae; Streptophyta; Magnoliopsida; Malvales; Malvaceae.